RNAcentral lists this long non-coding RNA (657 nucleotides) under Citrus x clementina. RNAcentral's name for it is "Citrus clementina (C. clementina) long non-coding RNA (CCLE_LNC001406)". Lineage: Eukaryota; Viridiplantae; Streptophyta; Magnoliopsida; Sapindales; Rutaceae. The record is from RNAcentral.
UAUGUAAAAUUAUUUAUACCUUAUCACACGUACGAAGCUGAUAAAUUAUUUAUUUAAUGUGAAAACAAAUGCAUUGUAUAAUACUUAUUCUAUUACUUAAAUUUAAAAUUAUAAAGAAUGAAACUUAAAUUUAAAAUUGUAAAGAAUGAAUUAAUAGAUUAUGGGAGAAUACCUUUCAAAAAAAAUUAAAAUUAACUAACUUUUUAUGCUUCUAACGUAACAUUUUUUUUGUUGUUAUCAUAAGACAAAAUUUUAGUCUAAAAAAUUCAUUUUAGGGUCUCCUUAGGGAAAAAAAAACAUCAUUAUCACAUGAUAAUUUGGUAGCCUAAGUUAUAUUAUUUAUAGUUUACUUAGUUAUGCCAAACACCUUAUUGAGAUUAAAUUUUAGUAAAGUAAACCCAUCCCACCAUCUUUAAUCACAUUCAACAGGCCCUAAUUGAUUAGAUCUUGUUUUAGAAAGUAAGAUAUGACUCUUUCUUUAUUACAAUGGUAAAGAAAAAGAUAUAAACACAAUACAUAUCCUCUUGAGAAAAUGCAAGUAUUAUGUUUUUGAGGUUUUGUGCUUAAGAAAUUAAUCUAAUUUAUGUAGUUAGAAGAAUCUUAUUUUUUUAAGUUUUAGAAGAAUUAUAUGUUUGAUAAGGAAUAAAUUAAGAUUUA